This 2048-nucleotide unclassified non-coding RNA is filed under the name Leishmania donovani. Its description in RNAcentral is "gene:LdHU3.24.0670(CDS-product:Methyltransferase_ domain/Methyltransferase_TRM13_putative)". The record is from RNAcentral. Lineage: Eukaryota; Euglenozoa; Kinetoplastea; Trypanosomatida; Trypanosomatidae.
CAUCUGCAUGUGGCGGCACAUGCGCGUCAUUGAAAAGACAAGCAUCCUUCACAGGACUCCUUUCUGUGAAGUAUAUCAGGAACGUCAAAACAGAUAUAAGCAGAAGUUUGAACGUGUCAGGGCAGCAGCGGCUGCAACUGUGCCGGCGGAAGACUACAGCAGCAGCGGCUUGGUGGCCGAAGUGUGGCGACCACGGAAUGGGUAGUCGCCUGCUCUUACCCUCCAACAACAGCAGCACCAUCUGCAGCUGCAGCGGUGGCUAUGCAGAACUACCGCUGCAAGCAGAGACAAUACCACAGCGUGCUGUGGUCGCUGCAGUUUGUGCUCGCUCUCCUACACCACGCGCGGAAAGGCGCCGCACGUGCACGUCAGCAGCAACACGAGCGCGGCAACGCUAGGGAGGACAACAGCUGUUGCUGCUCAACCUCAACUGGUGCCGCUGACACGGAGUCAGAUACUUUGAUUGCGUUUCAAGCGGCCGCAGACGGUGCCUUGGCCUCGUUCGCAACACAGGGACCGCUUUCUGCCUCGCAGUUGCUCUCCCUGCAGAACAGCCUCACUGACGCUGACGUACGUGAUCUCUGCGUGCAAUGCAUGCGCCACUUCAUCACCCAGCAGCAGCAGCCGGCGCCAACGCUCACGUCUGUGCAGCAGCCGCUCUUCAGCGCUGAAAACGUCUUUGCCGCCCCUACGCCUCUUCUUCUCGUGCUGUGGCCAACCGAGAGUGUUCGCCAACACUACACAUGGGCUUUGGAGGUGGCUCACCACCACCGCAUCGACCACAGCGACCUCCUCGCCAUACCAGGCUACCUGCAGGAGGCUGGCCUGCACGCGCGGCGUGUCUUUGCGGGGUAUAGCGGCGCCAAACAUGAUGAAAGGUCCACCGUGGCGCAGGACUCAGAGCAGCGGGCAGCGCAUGAGUGGGCCCGCCUCAUCGACCUCUACACCUCCUUCCUCCCUGAUCGGUCCCACAUCCACGAGCUGGAGAAUCUGCCGCAGGAGAUCGCCAUUGGCGAGCUGCUCCGCGAGACCGUCGAGCGCGUGCGCAGGGCGGAGGAUCACGCCGGCGGCGAUGGCUUCGCGCUGGACUGCGUCGUCGACGUCGGCGGCGGCAACGGCUUCCUUGCGGCGCAGGUGGCGGAGCGCCUGCAGUGCGACAGCGUCGUCAUCGACCCCUUCUUUCCGGCGCACUCCAUCGACUGCUGCCCGCGGCUGUGGCCCGACACAGCGCACCGCGCACGGCCCGCCACGCGCCGGCAGCGCACACUGCACCGCACCGUGGCGCUGUUCCGCGACGUCCGCUGGUCGGACGCUGUGCCGGCAACGCCAGCACGCACGGCCCUCAUCGCGAAGCACCUGUGCGGCAGCGGCGUGGACGAGGUGCUGCGCCAUCUGGAGGCGCAGGAGUCUCUGCCGCGCAUCCUCGUUCUGGCGCCGUGCUGCUUUAGCAAAUGCUCGCUGGACACCUACAUCGACCCUGACUUUGUGUCCGCGCUGCUGGGGCUGGGCAGUGCUGCAGCCUUCUGCCAUCUAACGCGCUUGACAGACUGGAAUGCGUCCGUGCACCAGCGAUUGCAGGGUGUCGCUCUGUCGGGGAGAGGCCCCUCAGCAUCGGUCUCGAAGAAGUCCGUGCGUUACUUUGUCUCCUGUCCAGAGGGCAUAGCCGCCUCCGUCGAAGCCGUCGUGAGCCAAGGACGCGUACAGUGGCUUCAGCGUCACGGGUACAUCGUGCGACUAGUGGAGUACGUUCCCGACUGCGUGACACCAAAGAAUCGCUGUAUGGUGGCAUACCGUACGUGACGUACGGGCUCGGCCGUUUCCUCGUAUCCUAACAAGUGAGCCUGUGGUAGAGAGUGCGCGCAAGCUGUCUGUGCUGCCUUACCUGCACGCAUAACAACGACGAUAGAGAUCGAACACUUCUCUGUAGCUGAUGCGUGCUGCUGCCGCCGUUGCUGCCCACUGUUCAUCCCACGCAUCUCUGCCUGAACUUCAGCCAGGCCGCUACAAGCAUCGUCUACUUACCCCGACGACGAAAUGAGACCUGCCUG